RNAcentral lists this non-coding RNA (744 nucleotides) under Pongo abelii (Sumatran orangutan). The record is from RNAcentral. Lineage: Eukaryota; Metazoa; Chordata; Mammalia; Primates; Hominidae.
UGUCAGGGACAGGGCAGUAUUCCAGUUUAAGCCUGUCUACCUCUGGAGCUCUCCUGAUCAAUACAUCAGAGAAGAUGAUGGAGCCCUCCUGCCGCUCUUGGGGAGAGUUACGUCGCUGCUGUCAUCGAUGCCAUGCUGGACCUCACAGCGAUAGAUACCUGAGUCGUUGGGGCGCAGCUCGCUCAGCGCCAGGGAGACAUCAGUGAGCGAUGCUGGGUACGCAGGCAGUGCCACGCGGAACCGGUAGGCCUCGUUCACCUUGACGCGCACUCCCCGCGCCACCAGCACCUCUGCCUCCCGGCCCCCGGACAGGAAAGUCCACUUGACCCGCGGAGAGCCCAGCACAGCCCGGCGGCUCGGCGGCGGCCGCAGGUAGUGAACGUGGCACGGGAUGGUGAGGGCGCCGCCGAGCACGCCCUGCAGUGGCGCGUCGCCCGCGAUGCGCACGCGAAAAGCGCGGUCCUCUGUGAACCGGUGGAGCCGGCUGGAACUUAACGCUGUCGACCCUCAGAGUCCCACCCGGUGGCCUCCAAGCCCCGCUCCAGGAUCCCUCCUUCCGGCCCCAGGAUUUCCCGGCCCCCCUAGGACCAGGGGCCAGGGUCCUGCAGCCCUACCUCUGGGUCCUCCAGGACCACCCCGACGGUCUCUAGACCCAUCCCCCAAAGUCUCCCAGUCAAUUCAGCCCCCAGGAUUCCUUGCCCUGCUCUCAGAGUCUUCCACUUCCUCUCCAAAAUUCCUAGACCA